CCAAUUAUCAUUGGGCCAUAAACAUAGGAUAGUGUAAGUUGAAAACAACAAUCAAAAUUGAAAGCAAAAUGGCGUUUGUACCUCAGUUUUGCUUCAUUUAGUCGGUCUACUUUCUAAAUUCGUCAAAACACAAUUUUAUAUUAUCAAAAUUGAAAGGAAAAUAAAGUUUGGACAAAGGACCUCAUUUUCCUUAAUGAAACCUGGAAUUUGUCUUCAAAAAUUGUAAAAUCAAAAUGUAAAACGAUGAAAGUUCAAAGCAAUUAAUGCUUGAACCUCAUUUUCCCUAAUUAAGUAUGCAAACUAACAUUUUCUCACUAUCAUGUUAAACUUUCCGAGAUAAAAAAAAAUACAUUUUACUACUGAUCUUACACAAAAUAUGUGAGAGAAUAAAUGCAUAAGAUAAACAUUUGAAAACUCAACAUUUCAUUAUUCUUGAUCUCACCUCCAUUUCUAAACGUUUCUGUUAUCGUACUUCAUAAAUGCGGGUUUUCGCGAAUUUCUUGCUUUCCUUCCUGCAAGAAAUCUAAGAUUUAAAAAAUAGCAUUAUUAUCUAAGGCACACUUGUUAAGAUAGAAGGUUAUUCUUCUUAAAUUUCCAUAAUAAUUAUGAAAUUUAGCAAACAAAAAUCACCAUAACCAAAGACCAAUAAAAGAACCUUAGCAAAAGAACAAUAAAAAAAUUGAAAUAUAAUAAUAAAAGACCGAGUAGACAAAUUGUACCAACUAGUAAAGUCAAGCCUCUUUCUCCCGUAGGUUGAACCACUGCUGAACACGUUAAGAGCAAUGUG
This 787-nucleotide long non-coding RNA is filed under the name Olea europaea subsp. europaea. The record is from RNAcentral. Lineage: Eukaryota; Viridiplantae; Streptophyta; Magnoliopsida; Lamiales; Oleaceae.